AGGGCCUACGGGGGGCAGCAGUGGGGAAUAUUGCACAAUGGGGGAAACCCUGAUGCAGCGACGCCGCGUGAGUGAAGAAGUAUUUCGGUAUGUAAAGCUCUAUCAGCAGGGAAGAAAAUGACGGUACCUGACUAAGAAGCCCCGGCUAACUACGUGCCAGCAGCCGCGGCAAUACGUAGGGGGCAAGCGUUAUCCGGAUUUGCUGGGCGUAAAGGGAGCGUAGUCGGCCAGACAAGUCCGCAGUGAAAGCCCAGGG
RNAcentral lists this ribosomal RNA (256 nucleotides) under uncultured bacterium. Its description in RNAcentral is "partial 16S ribosomal RNA". It matches the Rfam family "Bacterial small subunit ribosomal RNA", at positions 334 to 607 of the family's 1533-position model. The record is from RNAcentral.